Molecule: ribosomal RNA, 253 nt
Filed under: uncultured bacterium
Lineage: Bacteria
Description: partial 16S ribosomal RNA
Rfam family: Bacterial small subunit ribosomal RNA
Source: RNAcentral
UACGGGGGGGGUAAGCGUUGUUCGGAAUCACUGGGCGUAAAGGGAGCGUAGGCGGGUUCUUAAGUAAGGUGUUUAAUCCCGGGGCCCAACCCCGGACCGGCACUUUAAACUGGGAAUCUUGAAUAGUGGAGAGGUCGGUGGAAUUGGGGGUGUAGCGGUGGAAUGCGUAGAGAUCCCCAAGAACACCAGUUGCGAAGGCGGCCGACUGGACACAUAUUGACGCUGAGGCUCGAAAGCAUGGGGAGCAAACAGG